RNAcentral lists this long non-coding RNA (918 nucleotides) under Pan troglodytes (chimpanzee). RNAcentral's name for it is "long non-coding RNA NONPTRT017982". Lineage: Eukaryota; Metazoa; Chordata; Mammalia; Primates; Hominidae. The record is from RNAcentral.
CGCCGGGUUUGGUGGCCUGUGCCUGUAGUCCCAGCUGCUCGGGAGGCUGAGGUGGAGGAUGGCUUGAGCUGUGAUCAUGCAACUGCACUCCAGCCUGGGCAAGAGAGCAAGACCCCAUCUCACACACAAAAAAGUUUCUAUAAGUAUCUGUAUUGACAGAAAAACUCCAACCCUGAAUGUGCUAAUUACCCUGAUUUGACCACUACACAUUGUAUACGUGUACUAAAAUAUUACACUGCAUCCCAUAAAUAUGUACAAUUAUUAUGUGUCAAUUAAAAAUAAUAAUACAAGCCAAAAAAUAGGACGCUGCACUAGAGGCUGAGGUUACGUGGAUGAAUAUGGCACGUGGAAAAAACAACAACAACAAUGACAACAACCUCACUUCAGGCAAAAGUAGGAGGCUUCCUCAACACAGCCCGGGGUUCUUUCCUCCGCUCCUGCUGUCUCGCUUCCUCCCUGGCAUGGGCGCUACACGGUGUCUCAGCGCGACUCCCCUAAGUCAGGAACAAGCGAAUUCCGAGAUGAACGGUGCAGUCCUGGCCUCGAGGGGCCUGGAAUCUACGGAGUGGGGCAGGUGGGCACAUAAAUAAAAAACAUCAUCACCUGAAUGGCGUGAACCCGGGAGGCGGAGCUUGCAGUGAGCCGAGAUCGCGCCACUGCACUCCAGCCUGGGCGACAGAGCGAGACUCCGUCUCAAAACAAACAAACAAACAAACAAACAAACCAUCAUCACAAUGACCGGGGGUGGGGGCUUCUCCAAGUGCUUGAUGCUCUGCCAAGGAAUUCACUGGCAUUAACUCGGGGACCCCUGACCAUAAGCCUCAGUUUCCCCAUCUGCAGAGAGAGGGGGUUGUCCUAGGGGUGCCCUGGCUCCCCUGGAAGCCUCCAGUACCUUAGAUUUCCACUGGGGAAGCCAGG